GCCAGGGUGGCGUAGUGGUUUGAGUGUUGGACUUGGACCUUAGAGACCUAGGUUUGAAUCCUGGCUCAGACA
This is a non-coding RNA of Phrynosoma platyrhinos (Desert horned lizard), 72 nucleotides long. The record is from the annotation of a GenBank genome assembly. Lineage: Eukaryota; Metazoa; Chordata; Lepidosauria; Squamata; Phrynosomatidae.